RNAcentral lists this long non-coding RNA (213 nucleotides) under Capsicum annuum. RNAcentral describes it as "long non-coding RNA (CANN_LNC022328)". Lineage: Eukaryota; Viridiplantae; Streptophyta; Magnoliopsida; Solanales; Solanaceae. The record is from RNAcentral.
ACUAUUUGUAAUGAUGUCUGCAUCAUUCCACAGUGAAGAUGAUUCAAAAUUGAUGUGGCUUGGAUUUUGUGAAGGAAUAUUCUUGGAAGUUAAGGGUGGAAAUUGAGAUGUGGAUGUGGGAGAGGUGGCUGGCCGCCGGCCAGAUUCAUACAUGUAAUUGAUCGAGAAUUUUAGGUUAAAAAUAUUUAUUUAAAUGGCGAGAUUCAUAUUGGC